UGUCUGGCCGCACGCGCGCUACACUGAUACGUUCAACGAGCUCCUUGACCGAGAGGCCCGGGUAAUCUUUGAAACCGUAUCGUGAUGGGGAUAGAACAUUGCAAUUAUUGUUCUUCAACGAGGAAUGCCUAGUAAGCGCGAGUCAUCAUCUCGCGUUGAUUACGUCCCUGCCCUUUGUACACACCGCCCGUCGCUCCUACCGAUUGAACGUGCUGGUGAAGCGUUAGGACUGGAACUUCGGGCAGGUCUCCUGCUCAUUGUUUCGGGAAUUUCGUUGAACCCUCCCGUUUAGAGGAAGGAGAAGUCGUAACAAGGUCUCCGUAGGUGAACCUGCGGAGGGAUCAUU
Molecule: ribosomal RNA, 346 nt
Filed under: Ulva mutabilis
Lineage: Eukaryota; Viridiplantae; Chlorophyta; Ulvophyceae; Ulvales; Ulvaceae
Description: SSU rRNA
Rfam family: Eukaryotic small subunit ribosomal RNA
Source: RNAcentral